Molecule: non-coding RNA, 71 nt
Organism: Peromyscus maniculatus bairdii (prairie deer mouse)
Lineage: Eukaryota; Metazoa; Chordata; Mammalia; Rodentia; Cricetidae
Source: RefSeq, a predicted model, not a curated record
UGAGGGUCGGUUUUAAGGUUUCAAAAGUCCAUCCCCAGGCCCAGUCUUGCUCUUUCUCUACCUGCAACUUG